GCUGGGGGUUUGGCUCAGUGGUAGAGUGCUUGUCUAUCAUGCAUGAGGCACUGGGUUCGAUUCUCAGCACAGCA
This 74-nucleotide transfer RNA is filed under the name Marmota monax (woodchuck). RNAcentral describes it as "tRNA.Asp". The stretch from base 11 to 67 matches the Rfam family "tRNA", at positions 8 to 63 of the family's 71-position model. From Rfam's summary of the family: Transfer RNA (tRNA) molecules are approximately 80 nucleotides in length. The record is from RNAcentral. Lineage: Eukaryota; Metazoa; Chordata; Mammalia; Rodentia; Sciuridae.